RNAcentral lists this ribosomal RNA (498 nucleotides) under uncultured bacterium. Its description in RNAcentral is "partial 16S ribosomal RNA". It matches the Rfam family "Bacterial small subunit ribosomal RNA", at positions 28 to 507 of the family's 1533-position model. The record is from RNAcentral.
GACGAACGCUGGCGGCGUGCCUAAUACAUGCAAGUCGAACGAGAGCGACCGGUGCUUGCACUGGUCAAUCUAGUGGCGAACGGGUGAGUAACACGUGGGUAACCUGCCCAUCAGAGGGGGAUAACAUUCGGAAACGGAUGCUAAAACCGCAUAGGUCUUCGAACCGCAUGGUUUGAAGAGGAAAAGAGGCGCAAGCUUCUGCUGAUGGAUGGACCCGCGGUGCAUUAGCUAGUUGGUGAGGUAACGGCUCACCAAGGCCGUGAUGCAUAGCCGACCUGAGAGGGUGAUCGGCCACAUUGGGACUGAGACACGGCCCAAACUCCUACGGGAGGCAGCAGUAGGGAAUCUUCCGCAAUGGACGCAAGUCUGACGGAGCAACGCCGCGUGAGUGAAGAAGGUUUUCGGAUCGUAAAACUCUGUUGUUAGAGAAGAACAAGUGCUAGAGUAACUGUUAGCGCCUUGACGGUAUCUAACCAAAAAGCCACGGCUAACUACGUG